AGCAGCCGCGGUAAUUCCAGCUCCAAUAGCGUAUAUUAAAGUUGUUGCAGUUAAAAAGCUCGUAGUUGAAUUUCGGAGUUUGUCGGUUGGUCGGGCUUCACUGUCCGCACUGGCCUGAUGGAUUCCUACCUUCUGAAUAACCAGCAUGCUAUUAAGUUAGUGCGUUGGGGAAGCAGAGCUAUUACCUUGAAAAAAUUAGAGUGCUUAAAGCAGGCUUUUGCUUGAAUAGAUUAGCAUGGAAUAAUAAAAUAGGACGGCAUGGUUCUAUUUUGUUGGUUUCUAGGAUCACCGUAAUGAUUAAUAGGGAUAGUUGGGGGCAUUAGUAUUCAAUUGUCAGAGGUGAAAUUCUUGGAUUUAUUGAAGACUAACUUCUGCGAAAGCAUUUGCCAAGGAUGUUUUCAUUAAUCAAGAACGAAAUUAGGGGGAU
Molecule: ribosomal RNA, 427 nt
Filed under: uncultured Acaulospora
Lineage: Eukaryota; Fungi; Glomeromycota; Glomeromycetes; Diversisporales; Acaulosporaceae
Description: SSU rRNA
Rfam family: Eukaryotic small subunit ribosomal RNA
Source: RNAcentral